GUCCACGCUGUAAACGAUGGGCACUAGGUGUUCGGGGUAUUGACCCCCCUGAGUGCCGCAGCUAACGCAUUAAGUGCCCCGCCUGGGGACUACGGCCGCAAGGUUAAAACUCAAAGGAAUUGACGGGGGCCCGCACAAGCGGUGGAGCAUGUGGUUUAAUUCGACGCAACGCGAAGAACCUUACCUGGGCUAGACAACGUCGGACCGCCCUAGAAAUAGGGUUUUCCCGCAAGGGACCGGCGGUUCAGGUGCUGCAUGGCUGUCGU
RNAcentral lists this ribosomal RNA (266 nucleotides) under uncultured bacterium. Its description in RNAcentral is "partial 16S ribosomal RNA". It matches the Rfam family "Bacterial small subunit ribosomal RNA", at positions 793 to 1055 of the family's 1533-position model. The record is from RNAcentral.